RNAcentral lists this ribosomal RNA (493 nucleotides) under uncultured bacterium. RNAcentral's name for it is "partial 16S ribosomal RNA". It matches the Rfam family "Bacterial small subunit ribosomal RNA", at positions 29 to 523 of the family's 1533-position model. The record is from RNAcentral.
AUUGAACGCUGGCGGCAUGCUUUACACAUGCAAGUCGAACGGUAACAGGUUAAGCUGACGAGUGGCGAACGGGUGAGUAAUGCAUCGGAACGUGCCCGAUCGUGGGGGAUAACGCAGCGAAAGCUGCGCUAAUACCGCAUACGAUCUGAGGAUGAAAGCGGGGGACCGUAAGGCCUCGCGCGAUCGGAGCGGCCGAUGUUGGAUUAGGUAGUUGGUGGGGUAAAGGCCCACCAAGCCGACGAUCUGUAGCUGGUCUGAGAGGACGACCAGCCACACUGGGACUGAGACACGGCCCAGACUCCUACGGGAGGAAGCAGUGGGGAAUUUUGGACAAUGGGCGAAAGCCUGAUCCAGCAAUGCCGCGCGCAGGAAGAAGGCCUUCGGGUUGUAAACUGCUUUUGUACGGAGCGAAAAGGUCCUUUCUAAUACAGGGGGCUCAUGACGGUACCGUAAGAAUAAGCACCGGCUAACUACGUGCCAGCAGCCGCCGUAA